AUGCGCUGCGGGCGCGGCUGCAGCUUCCUCCGUCCAGGCGUCCACCCGAUGCCGCUCCUCGCCACCCCACCCUAUAUAACGCCGCGCACGUCAGCGGCCACCGCGGGCCCCGCCACUGCCACCUCUUCCGGUACCUGCUCCCUCCGGGUCCGCCUCCGCGCACCAGGGAGAUCCGCCGCCUCUUCCUCCUCCCGGCUCCCUCGCGCCAUGGCCGCCACCGGAGCCGAUGCCGCCGCCGCUCCCCCGUCCCUGCUCGUCUUUUCAGGUGGAACAGCAUUUAAUGGCGUCGUAGAAGAGUUGAAGAAAGUGACUACCCGGGUUGCGCAUGUCCUACCAGUUUCUGAUGAUGGUGGAAGCACAGCUGAGAUUGUUCGUGUGCUUGGUGGACCUGCUGUGGGUGACAUAAGAUCAAGAUGCUUGAGACUGUCCGAUGAAAGCACUUUGGAAGCACUCUCCGUCCGGAGAUUGCUUGGGCACCGUUUGCCUCUUGAUCCUUCAGAAGCAAAGCUGGAGUGGUACCAUAUUGUGGAAGGAGAACACUCUUUAUGGGAUGGUGUCUCUCGUCCCUACAGGGAAACAAUCCGUGCAUUUUUGGUCUACUUCCAUAAUGAGAUCCUUCGGCGACCAGUUGAAACAUUUUGCUUCACGAAUGGCAGCAUUGGGAAUUUCUUUUUUGCUGGCGCACGCAUAUUCUUCCAGUCUUUGGAUGCUGCGAUCUUUUUGUUUUCACGUGUGUCACAAAUCCCUGCGGAAAGUCUUGUGCUUCCAGUAAUAUCCACAAAUGACAGGCUUACUCUGGGGUGUGAAUUAUGGGAUGGAACUAUUAUCCGAGGCCAAAAUGAAAUAUCACAUCCAAGCAAUGGCCGUAGAGAAGUUGUUGACAAGGACUGUAAUUCAUGCAGCGCACUUCCUUCAAGCAUCAAGCGCGUCUUUUACAUGUCAAGUGAAGGUUGCAACCUAUUGCAUGAGGUGUUUCCUGAAGCUAACCAUACAGUUUUGGAGCAGCUAAGUAAGGUGGAUUGCAUUGUAUAUGCGAUGGGGUCGCUAUUUACAUCAGUUUGUCCAUCACUGGUACUGCGUGGCAUUGGUGAGACUAUAGCAUCAAGGUCCAUUCCCAAGGUACUUCUUUUAAAUGGAUCACAUGAUAGAGAAACUAUUGGGCUGUCUGCUUCUGGCUUUGUGACUGCAAUUACGGAUUCUCUAAAUCGGACAUAUGGUGAUCCUGACAAAAGUCUAAAGUAUCAUCCCAAAGACUAUGUUAAUGCCAUAUUGGUUCCUGAAGGAGGCCAAAUUCCUUUAGAUGUUGAAAAUUUGGCAUCUAAAGGAAUUUUUCAUGUGUUAACCGUGAAAUCUGUACACGACACGAAGGUGGGUGUCAUAUUUGAUCCAGUGUCUUUAAUCCAAGCUCUGACCGGUCUGAUAUCCGAGCACAUGGAUGCACGCCUCGCGGAACCUGACCCUCUAACUGAAAACGUGACGUCUGUAUGCUGA
RNAcentral lists this ribosomal RNA (1491 nucleotides) under Triticum aestivum (bread wheat). RNAcentral's name for it is "partial small subunit ribosomal RNA". The record is from RNAcentral. Lineage: Eukaryota; Viridiplantae; Streptophyta; Magnoliopsida; Poales; Poaceae.